CUGGACUGGUUUACAUACAACAUUCUUCAUUUAGGAAUAGGUAAAGACCUCCUUUUUCAGCAGUCAGCAGAUCAAGACCUCGGCUGUUCUGGAGGACAACUGUGGCUAGGGAACUUACCUGAGCUUGAAGAAGGGAUAGCGAUUGAGUUAAUUCUGCAGUGGUAGCAGAGACAUCAUUAGAGUGGCUACAGAAGGUGAGGAUUGAAGUGGUAAGGCCUGCUAUGCCUGUGCCGAUACCGUAGAAAUUCCUAGCCCUACAAGUAAGGGGAUCAACGGAAUGACCCACUUGUAUUGUGUUGGGACCACAAGGGGAACAAGGAGGCUUUUGUCUCUGUUGGCAAACUGAAUUUUGGCAGUAAGGAAAAGUAGGGUAAAAGCGUCUGUCCAGUUGGUGGGAAGGCAGAUGUAAGAAGAAGAACCACAGAGGAAAAGAGUCUGUGGCUUAGACAGAACUGCAAAUGUAAACUGAAAAGGUUACGAAAGGAGAGAGCAACCACAUUUGUCAAAGAGAUUUUUUUAUGCCAUGGGCCAGUAUGAUCGUCACAGCAGGCAACAUACCUGGAGUUUCACUCUUGUUACCCAGGCUGGAGUGCAAUGGUACGAUCUCGGCUCACCACAACUUCCGCCUCCUAGGUUCAAGCAAUUCUCCUGCCUCAGCCUCCUAAGUAGCUGGGAUGUCCUCCUGUAUCUCAAAAGAACAUGUGGUAUGUACCAUCAGGUACACACACCUGGAGAUUAUCAGUCUAGCAAAAGUAAUCAACAUCCACAUAGGAGGGAAAAGCAAAUCAACAAUACCAGAAAUGGAAUUUAUCCAUCAUCAGUCCCAGAUCUCUGAGGGCGUCACCCUUGGAUGUGAAAAUCAACACAGAAGUUUAUAAACAAGAUUGCAGAGCGGUAGAAUGCCAAGCAAGAUCAUUUAGUUAAUACGAGGGCAACACCGAUAAGUCUAGACCAGAUGGGACAGUGAUAGGAACUAACUGAGGCAAAGCUACCUUAGUUUGUAGAAGCUUCCUCUUCUGCUCUUGUACAAGUAGGAAAUAGCCCAGUGUUUUCCCUUGGCCUUACGGUCAGGUUUAGUAUUACAUUCGUUUGCUCAUGAAUUCGACAGUUAUUGAGUGCACCCUGUAUGUCAAUCACCGUGCUGGAUCCUGGAGUUGCGGUGGUGAGCAAGGUGGACACAGCUCAAGUCUGUGGAGCUUAGAGACUGCUCAACACAACAGAUCAUCACAGUUGCCACAUACGGACAUUAUUUUUUCCUAAAUUUGCAUAUAUUUUUUAAAAAAGAAGUAGAAGAAAUGUAAUAUUAACAACAUCUAACAACUGUUGAGUAUAUCUUAUGUGUCAAAAAUUAUUACAAAUAUUUUACUAGCAUUACUCCUAAUCCUUCCAAAAAUCCCUUAAAGGGGUCAUUAUGGUUACCCCUCUUUACAGUUGAAGCAUUUGGAAGACAGAUACUAAAUCAUUUGUUGAAGAUAAUGCAGCUGGUAUCGGAGAGGUAGGAUCCUAAGCCUGGUCUUUGGACUCUCAAAUCAACAUUCUUAACAGCAAUUCUUUUAUUCAUUAUGAAUUUUGAAAAAGCUUUGUAAUUUCAAUGUUUAUAAGGAAGGAGGAAAGAAAGAGCUUGUACAUUUUAGUCAAGCAGAAAAACGCAGAUGAAUUGGUAAACAUCCACCAAAAAAAAAACAAUAGAAAACUGAAAAAACAGUGUUGCUUGCUUGCAUAGGUUGCCAGAUUAUGCUGGAUGUCGUGAGAGAGGAAGGGGGGAAUGUGUGAGUAUUGAUGAAAAUACUUCCAUAUUGGUGAUUUGUCUGCAAUCUAAAACUUAUAACAGCUUUAGAUAUACUUCUAAAAAUUAUGUAGAACUUGAAUUGUUACUAAUAAAAUGUUAUUUUUAUUUUAUCAGUUUAAGAACAUUUGUAUAAUUAUAUUUUCUUAUACAUGUUAAUAUCAAAAUAUACAUUCCGUUUUUUUGUUUGUUUGUUUUGUUUUGUUGUUGUUGUUGUUUUGAGACGGAGUUUCGCUCUUGUUACCCAGGCUGGAGUGCAGUGGCGCGAUCUCGGCUCACCGCAACCUCCGCCUCCUGGGUUCAGGCAAUUCUCCUGCCUCAGCCUCCUGAGUAGCUGGGAUUACAGGCACGCGCCACCAUGCCCAGCUAAUUUUUUGUAUUUUUAAUAGAGACGGGGUUUCACCAUGUUGAUCAGGAUAGUCUC
Molecule: long non-coding RNA, 2210 nt
Filed under: Callithrix jacchus (white-tufted-ear marmoset)
Lineage: Eukaryota; Metazoa; Chordata; Mammalia; Primates; Cebidae
Description: lncRNA (ENSCJAG00000083621.1)
Source: RNAcentral